RNAcentral lists this ribosomal RNA (428 nucleotides) under uncultured bacterium. RNAcentral describes it as "partial 16S ribosomal RNA". It matches the Rfam family "Bacterial small subunit ribosomal RNA", at positions 354 to 796 of the family's 1533-position model. The record is from RNAcentral.
GUCGAGAAUCUUCCGCAAUGCGCGAAAGCGUGACGGAGCGACACCGCGUGAUGGAUGAAGUCCUUCGGGGCGUAAACAUCUUUUAUAAAGGAGGAAAUUUUUGACGUUACUUUAUGAAUAAGGGGCUCCCAAUCUCGUGCCAGCAGGAGCGGUAAUACGAGAGCCUCAAGCGUUAUCCGGAAUCAUUGGGCGUAAAGGGUGCGUAGGUGGUUUGAUUAGUCUCCCGUUAAAACUUCGAGCUUAACUCGAAAAGAGCGGGGGAGACGGUCAAACUAGAGGAUGUGAGAGGUGUGUGGAACUCAUGGUGUAGGGGUGAAAUCCGUUGAUAUCAUGGGGAACACCAAAAGCGAAGGCAGCACACUGGCACAUCACUGACACUGAGGCACGAAACCUAAGGUAGCGAAUGGGAUUAGAAACCCGAGUAGUCC